Molecule: long non-coding RNA, 771 nt
Organism: Acipenser ruthenus (sterlet)
Lineage: Eukaryota; Metazoa; Chordata; Actinopteri; Acipenseriformes; Acipenseridae
Exons: 8
Source: RefSeq, a predicted model, not a curated record
GCCAUGUAUUUCUGGAGACAGUACGGUCGGUUGGUCUCCAUUUGGUUUUUCGCUGCAGGUGAGGUAAGAGCUAACUUGGGGGCUGGUUGUGUGCGCAGUCAGGAUGCAGAACAGAACUCCAGGCCAUGGCAAAAUGAAGCAGCAGGCCUAACUAUGUGUGUCAGUGGAGCAGAGCUGCAUGUAAGAAAUGCCAUGGUGAAGGAUCAUUGGUGCCUUCAAUUUUAAUAUUGUGAUACAGCUGAAGUAUUAAUGAUGGUGCUUAUUGCUGGUGUAAUCUGAGAUCCAGUGCUAAAGGCAGAGUAGACCAUGGCUAACUGAUCAAAAGUUGGAUAAAGUAUUCAUGACGGUGCUGAUUUUGUGUUCUGCAUCACAAUUGCACACAACUCCAGGCCGUGGCAAAAUGCAGCAGAAGACCUAACUAUGUGUGUCAGUGGAGCAGAGCUGCAUGUAAGAAAUGCCAUGGUAAAGGAUCAUUGGUGCCUUCAAUUAAUAUUGGGGAUACAGCUGAAGUAUUAAUGAUGGGUGCUUGUGUGCAACUAGCAAAAGGCAGCAGAACUGGCCACUGGCAAUACACCGGUGUAAAAAUACUAAUGAUGGGAAUGCUGGGGCAGAUAUGAAAACUGAAAUGGAGACGGUCUUCAAAAGAAAGUGUCAAGCUGCCUGCUUUGUUUUAUUGAUGGAUCUCGAGUUGUAUCAACCUGGCUGUCAUGCCAUUGUUUUGGCUCGGAUAUUGCUACCAGUAUUAUACAAUAAAGUAAUAAGUAUACCUUU